CUCCCCGUAGCUCAGAGGACAGAGCACCGGUUUCCGGAACCGGGCGCCGCAGGUUCGACUCCUGCCGGGGAGG
This 73-nucleotide transfer RNA is filed under the name Actinomadura verrucosospora. It matches the Rfam family "tRNA". Rfam says of the family: Transfer RNA (tRNA) molecules are approximately 80 nucleotides in length. RNAcentral also lists the same sequence under 1 other name. Lineage: Bacteria; Bacillati; Actinomycetota; Actinomycetes; Streptosporangiales; Thermomonosporaceae. The record is from Rfam by way of RNAcentral.